Molecule: long non-coding RNA, 639 nt
Organism: Arabidopsis lyrata subsp. lyrata
Lineage: Eukaryota; Viridiplantae; Streptophyta; Magnoliopsida; Brassicales; Brassicaceae
Exons: 3
Source: RefSeq, a predicted model, not a curated record
UUCCGGCGUCCCCAAAUUGAUAAAGAAGCACGCACACCCUAAUCCCCAAGUCCACAAGACGAGAGAAUCAUGGGGAAGGGGCGGACGAGGGGUUGUCGUCAAUUUUGGGAAAAUGGAGUGUUUAGAUAUUGUUUUAAACAUCGUUUUGAUUCUGUUAGCUGUGCCCGCUAUAAUGCUUCGACUUGUCAAAGAUUCUCUAGGCGCGUACGUAUUAUAAGUUGGAGGGAUCGGAUCACUCUGCUGAUAAAUUUGAUAUUCAGGAGGAAAAGUUGUCCAAGCCUGAUGAUGUUACUACCUCCACACCACUUGGCUCCGAUCAAGUUCAAAGUUGCUAUUCCUCCACUACAAGCGCAAAUCUUUAGAGAAGAAGAAGCGCAAAGCCAAAUCCACCACCUUUCUCUUUUAACCCCCGGAAAAUGUUUUCCAAUGCUUUAAUUAAUUUGUUAACUUAAAAUUUGCGAUGCUUUAUUAUUAGGAUUAUGACUUAAUAAAGACCUGGUUAUGUUAUUUUGGGAAAUCUUUGUCCCCCAUGUCUCCUUGUGUUAUAGCUGGUCAAAGAUGUUUCAUUUCACAAACUGGUCUUUUCUAGUUGAUACCAAUGCUGCUUUCUUUUCUAAUUGAUAUCAUUUUUUUUUAACA